CGGGUGAGUAAUGUCUGGGAAACUGCCCGAUGGAGGGGGAUAACUACUGGAAACGGUAGCUAAUACCGCAUAACGUCGCAAGACCAAAGAGGGGGACCUUCGGGCCUCUUGCCAUCGGAUGUGCCCAGAUGGGAUUAGCUAGUAGGUGGGGUAAUGGCUCACCUAGGCGACGAUCCCUAGCUGGUCUGAGAGGAUGAUCAGCCACACUGGGACUGAGACACGGUCCAG
RNAcentral lists this ribosomal RNA (228 nucleotides) under uncultured bacterium. RNAcentral's name for it is "partial 16S ribosomal RNA". It matches the Rfam family "Bacterial small subunit ribosomal RNA", at positions 103 to 334 of the family's 1533-position model. The record is from RNAcentral.